UCCGGUUUAACACCGGCAGUCUCGUUAGAGUGGCCAGCCGAACUGAAGGAUCCCAUCUCUGGAAUCCAUACGGGACAUGUCAAGGGCUGGUAAGGUUCUGCGCGUUGCUUCGAAUUGAACCACAUGCUCCACCGCUUGUGCGGGCCCCCGUCAAUUCCUUUGAGUUUUAAUCUUGCGACCGUACUCCCCAGGCGGGAUGCUUAAUGCGUUAGCUGCGCCACUGAAGGGUAAACCCACCAACGGCUAGCAUCCAUCGUUUACGGCGUGGACUAC
This 273-nucleotide unclassified non-coding RNA is filed under the name uncultured Alphaproteobacteria bacterium. RNAcentral's name for it is "contains 16S-23S intergenic spacer region". Lineage: Bacteria; Pseudomonadati; Pseudomonadota; Alphaproteobacteria. The record is from RNAcentral.